Leclercia adecarboxylata is the source of this 137-nucleotide non-coding RNA. The record is from Rfam. NCBI's taxonomy places the organism in Bacteria, Pseudomonadati, Pseudomonadota, Gammaproteobacteria, Enterobacterales, Enterobacteriaceae.
UAUAAGGAGUGAUUGCGUUAGCAGCGGUUUAUGCUAACCAACUGCCGGGAGAGUAUUACCCCUUUAGAGGGAGUGGGUAUUGCCUGAUGUCAAAAGCGAGGCAUAAAAAAAGCGCCCGCAGGCGCUUUUUUACAUUU